This 575-nucleotide long non-coding RNA is filed under the name Nicotiana tabacum (common tobacco). RNAcentral's name for it is "long non-coding RNA (NTAB_LNC003325)". The record is from RNAcentral. Lineage: Eukaryota; Viridiplantae; Streptophyta; Magnoliopsida; Solanales; Solanaceae.
UGCCUGCUUAAAGGUUUGAGGUUAUACCAGAUUGGAAAAUUUAGCCAAAUAGGACCAGAUAUUGAGUAGUGGUAUUGUUGUAGGAUAGAUAGUUGGUUAUGGGAUAUCUGUUAGCAUUCUUCCCGGUUGACAUAUAGUCUUUCAUCCAUAUUGGUUGCACAUAUUGCCUUUUGGACUUUCCAAAAAUGGAGGGAUCUUAUGAAGGUGAAGAAGUACAUGUUUCCGCAUUGUCUCCUGAAGGUGUAUGUGUGCUUGCCCCAGCAUCUGAGUUUGGAAAGUCCGCUACUGAAGCAUCUUGAGAAUCUCCAUGACUGCUAGUCUCAGCAAGGUGGCCAAGAAAAGGAUCUUCAGCUACAUCAGUGUCAGCUGCAUCAUUGGCAUUCUGAGCAUCAGAGGAUAGUGCAGCAUCUGCAACCUCAGAAAGUGAAGUUGAAGCUCUAGUAGAAGGUUGUGUAUUACAUAUUUGUGCAUGAAAUAUCUCAGGUUCCUACAUAAGAAAAUCAGCAUCUGAAGGGAAUUCAGAAGUUUGUGGUUGUGCAAAGGGAAAGACCGACUCCUUGAACACAACAUCUCUG